CUUUCCACUUCUUCAAUGCGACAACUAAACGUGGGAGGUCCCAAUCUUGCCAGCCUUCUUCCCCGCGAACUAGAUCAGCUUUGAUCCCUUUUGGUUUCUCAAGCACGUUCCGAGUAUUCCCGUUCACUCUUUCGAUUUUUCCCAAUGUUUGUAACGACUGUACGUUAUGCGAUAAAAUCUUGUAAAAUUCGUGGAUUUUCGCUGGACUCGAUCCGUUAAUCACUGGUAAGUUUAUAAUGUCCUGAAUGUAAGCAUUGAUGAUCUCACUCGUCUUGCCGUACUCACUCUCAAGGAUGUUCUUCGCUCGUUCAUAACCUUCGGUACUAAACGGCAGACCCGCGACUUCCGACCGCACGGUUGGUUCUACCGUUCUAGCAAUUCCCUCAGGUAUCCAAAUUUCGACACGGA
Molecule: non-coding RNA, 408 nt
Organism: Paramuricea clavata
Lineage: Eukaryota; Metazoa; Cnidaria; Anthozoa; Malacalcyonacea; Plexauridae
Source: the annotation of a GenBank genome assembly